AGCCAGACUCCUACGGGAGGCAGCAGUGACGAAUAUUGGUCAAUGGUCGGGAGACUGAACCAGCCAAGCCGCGUGAGGGAUGAAGGUACAGAGUAUCGUAAACCUCUUUUGUCAGGGAACAAAGGCGGGGACGCGUCCCCGGAUGAGUGUACCUGAAGAAAAAGCAUCGGCUAACUCCGUGCCAGCAGCCGCGGUAAUACGGAGGAUGCGAGCGUUAUCCGGAUUUAUUGGGUUUAAAGGGUGCGCAGGCGGUCUGUUAAGUCAGCGGUCAAAUGUCGGUGCUCAACGCCGGCCUGCCGUUGAAACUGGUCGUCUUGAGUGAGCGAGAAGUAUGCGGAAUGCGUGGUGUAGCGGUGAAAUGCAUAGAUAUCACGCAGAACUCCGAUUGCGAAGGCAGCAUACCGGCGCCCAACUGACGCUGAAGCACGAAAGCGUGGGUAUCGAACAGGAUUAGAUACCCGGGUAA
RNAcentral lists this ribosomal RNA (466 nucleotides) under uncultured bacterium. RNAcentral's name for it is "bacterial SSU rRNA". It matches the Rfam family "Bacterial small subunit ribosomal RNA", at positions 329 to 793 of the family's 1533-position model. The record is from RNAcentral.